RNAcentral lists this ribosomal RNA (301 nucleotides) under uncultured bacterium. RNAcentral describes it as "partial 16S ribosomal RNA". It matches the Rfam family "Bacterial small subunit ribosomal RNA", at positions 509 to 807 of the family's 1533-position model. The record is from RNAcentral.
CAGCCGCCGCGGUAAUACAGAGGGUGCGAGCGUUAAUCGGAUUUACUGGGCGUAAAGCGUGCGUAGGCGGCUUCUUAAGUCGGAUGUGAAAUCCCUGAGCUUAACUUAGGAAUUGCAUUCGAUACUGGGAAGCUAGAGUAUGGGAGAGGAUGGUAGAAUUCCAGGUGUAGCGGUGAAAUGCGUAGAGAUCUGGAGGAAUACCGAUGGCGAAGGCAGCCAUCUGGCCUAAUACUGACGCUUAGGUACGAAAGCAUGGGGAGCAAACAGGAUUAGAUACCCCGGUAGUCCCUGUCUCUUAUAC